RNAcentral lists this ribosomal RNA (528 nucleotides) under Henicomyia hubbardi. Its description in RNAcentral is "partial 16S ribosomal RNA". It matches the Rfam family "Bacterial large subunit ribosomal RNA", at positions 1807 to 2606 of the family's 2925-position model. Lineage: Eukaryota; Metazoa; Arthropoda; Insecta; Diptera; Therevidae. The record is from RNAcentral.
UCAAAAACAUGUCUUUUAGAAUUUAAUUUAAAGUCUAGUCUGCCCGCUGAGUAUUUUAAUGGCCGCAGUAUCUUAACUGUGCAAAGGUAGCAUAAUCAUUAGUCUUUUAAUUGAAGGCUGGUAUGAAUGGCUGGACGAGGUAUUGACUGUAUCUUUAGAAUUGUUAUUGAAUUUUAUUUUUUAGUAAAAAAGCUUAAAUGUUGUUAAAAGACGAGAAGACCCUAUAGAUCUUUAUAAAUAAUAUAUUUUGAUUAUUUAGAUUAUGUAUGUUUAUAUAAUAUUAUUUAUUUUAUUGGGGUGAUAUUAAAAUUUGAUUAACUUUUAAUUUUUAAUUACAUUGAUUUAUGAUAUUGGUGAUCCACUAUUAGUGAUUAUAAGUUUAAGUUACCUUAGGGAUAACAGCGUAAUUUUUUUGGAGAGUUCUUAUCGAUAAUAAAUAUUGCGACCUCGAUGUUGGAUUAGGAGAUAAUUUUGGGUGUAGUAAUUCAUUAAUUAAGUCUGUUCGACUUUUAAUUUCCUACAUGAUCU